RNAcentral lists this ribosomal RNA (515 nucleotides) under uncultured bacterium. RNAcentral describes it as "partial 16S ribosomal RNA". It matches the Rfam family "Bacterial small subunit ribosomal RNA", at positions 28 to 523 of the family's 1533-position model. The record is from RNAcentral.
GAUGAACGCUGGCGGCGUGCCUAAUACAUGCAAGUCGAGCGAAUGGAUUAAGAGCUUGCUCUUAUGAAGUUAGCGGCGGACGGGUGAGUAACACGUGGGUAACCUGCCCAUAAGACUGGGAUAACUCCGGGAAACCGGGGCUAAUACCGGAUAAUAUUUUGAACUGCAUGGUUCAAAAUUGAAAGGCGGCUUCGGCUGUCACUUAUGGAUGGACCCGCGUCGCAUUAGCUAGAUGGUGAGGUAACGGCUCACCAAGGCAACGAUGCGUAGCCGACCUGAGAGGGUGAUCGGCCACACUGGGACUGAGACACGGCCCAGACUCCUACGGGAGGCAGCAGUAGGGAAUCUUCCGCAAUGGACGAAAGUCUGACGGAGCAACGCCGCGUGAGUGAUGAGGGCUUUCGGGUCGUAAAACUCUGUUGUUAGGGAAGAACAAGUGCUAGUUGAAUAAGCUGGCACCUUGACGGUACCUAACCAGAAAGCCACGGCUAACUACGUGCCAGCCGCCGCCGUAA